This is a long non-coding RNA of Corticium candelabrum, 295 nucleotides long. RefSeq lists it as uncharacterized. NCBI's taxonomy places the organism in Eukaryota, Metazoa, Porifera, Homoscleromorpha, Homosclerophorida, Plakinidae. The record is from RefSeq and is a predicted model, not a curated record. The transcript has 3 exons.
AGCAGUGGCUGGAACAGGUUCAGCUGUCUGAUCUCUACAAAUUGCUUUGUAAUGCAGGGAUACAAGAUCUGGAUGUGCUUUUACAUGUGAGCAGUGAUGAACUAGAAAGAGCAGGAAUCAAGAAGGAUAACAUAAGCAGACUAAUGACUGCAAGUGACAUGUUGAAAUCGGGUGCAUCACCUUCAAAGGGUGUACUAUAUACAGCUGAACGUGGCUAUUGUCAAAAGGAUGAUUCCGAAUUGACAAUCGAGAAAGGUGACAAAGUUUUAGUAACUGACAUGUCAAACAAGCACAG